GGGGGGGGGGGCAAGCGUUGUUCGGAAUUACUGGGCGUAAAGGGCGUGUAGGCGGUCCUGCAAGUCUUUCGUGAAAUCCCACAGCUCAACUGUGGAACUGCGAGGGAAACUGCAGGACUUGAGUCCGGGAGAGGAGAGUGGAAUUCCCAGUGUAGCGGUGAAAUGCGUAGAUAUUGGGAGGAACACCGGUGGCGAAGGCGGCUCUCUGGACCGGUACUGACGCUGAGGCGCGAAAGCUAGGGGAGCAAACGGGAUUAGAUACCCCGGUAGUCCUAGCCUUAAACGAUGAGCACUUGGUGUGGCGGGUAUCGACCCCUGCCGUGCCGAAGCUAACGCAUUAAGUGCUCCGCCUGGGGAGUACGGUCGCAAGGCUG
Molecule: ribosomal RNA, 374 nt
Filed under: uncultured organism
Description: partial 16S ribosomal RNA
Rfam family: Bacterial small subunit ribosomal RNA
Source: RNAcentral